CUACACAACACUCCUCACUCUCUCUAACACACUUCUCUUCAUUUCUCGCCGCCGGUACUACCACCAUGCCGAUCAGAAACAUCGCCGUAGGCCAAGUCGGUGAGGCCACUCAUCCCGACGCCCUCAAGGCAGGGUUGGCCGAGUUCUUCUCCACCCUAAUCUUCGUCUUCGCCGGAGAAGGUUCAGGCAUGGCCUUUGCCAAGCUCACCGACGGCGCAGCCAACACCCCCUCCGGCCUUAUUGCCGCCUCCAUCGCCCACGCCUUCGCACUGUUUGUUGCUGUUUCAGUUGGCGCCAACAUCUCCGGAGGCCACGUCAACCCCGCUGUCACCUU
Molecule: long non-coding RNA, 334 nt
Filed under: Linum usitatissimum (flax)
Lineage: Eukaryota; Viridiplantae; Streptophyta; Magnoliopsida; Malpighiales; Linaceae
Description: long non-coding RNA (LUSI_LNC007197)
Source: RNAcentral